Molecule: long non-coding RNA, 881 nt
Filed under: Oryzias javanicus (javanese ricefish)
Lineage: Eukaryota; Metazoa; Chordata; Actinopteri; Beloniformes; Adrianichthyidae
Description: lncRNA (ENSOJAG00000002907.1)
Source: RNAcentral
GGGGAGGGCAUUAGGACCCAGGAGGUUAGGGGCCAGCUGCUCUCUCCCAGCAGAGAGUAGUUCCGGGGCAGCAGCCAGGAAUGGCAUAUAAGGCGUGGGAGUGAGCCAUUCACCUGUUGACGUCUUCCGGUGUGCGGCCACUCAAACUGAACCGAGCCCGACGGCGGUACGAAGGAGCACGGGAAAAAAACCCAGGUUGUCAGUCAGGCCAGACGUGCAGUUUGCGUGGGCCCCUCCCUUCAUCUUAAGUGCUCCACGGCAGCCACGCAGGUGCAGCCUCGACGCGGAUGCCAGAACUUGUAAUCACGUGAGAACCUGCAGACUCUGAAAAGACAGAGUGGAAGAAGGGGAUUGUAAACGUGAGUCACACCUGCUGCUAAUAAUUUUUAUUGUUGGUUGCCUCACUGUUCAUAACUCUCUGCUCUGUUGGUUUUAGGAUUAACCCAUGUGCUUUUAGACUUGUCACUGUUUUUAUCUUCACUGCUCGCUUUUAUUUUUUAUCUUUUUAAUGUGAUGUCUUGGGGUGUUUUAACCCCUUUUAAUGCCUGGCACUUUUAAAACUUAGUUGACCUUUUAUCUAGUAGUUUUUAAACAGUAACCUGGUGCUGUGCAGGAUUGUGGGUUUUAUUUGCUGUGCUGUCCCCUCGUUUUUAUUGAGCAUGUUGUGUUUUAUUUGAGGGACAACUGUGUUGUUUUAAGUUACCCUGUCACAGCCCAGUUUCUUAAAAAAACUACUGUUGGUCCAGUGCCUUGUGUUUUAAUAAAUAUAUUUUAAAUACCAGCUACUGCCUCCUCCGGUUUAUUCUGGAGACCUGCUUUUAGUUGUGCAGCUAGCAUCCUUUCUGGCUACAAGGGAUUGCUGGCUGCUACACAUGGAUGGC